This 507-nucleotide ribosomal RNA is filed under the name uncultured bacterium. Its description in RNAcentral is "partial 16S ribosomal RNA". The record is from RNAcentral.
GGAGUUAGCCGGUGCUUCUUCUGUGAGUGAUGUCCUUCCUGCCGGCUAUUAACCCGCAGGCCUUCUUCCUCACUGAAAGUGCUUUACAACCCGAAGGCCUUCUUCACACACGCGGCAUGGCUGGAUCAGGGUUGCCCCCAUUGUCCAAUAUUCCCCACUGCUGCCUCCCGUAGGAGUCUGGGCCGUGUCUCAGUCCCAGUGUGGCUGAUCAUCCUCUCAGACCAGCUACGGAUCGUCGCCUUGGUGAGCCGUUACCUCACCAACCAGCUAAUCCGACAUAGGCUCAUCCGAUAGCGCGAGGCCCGAAGGUCCCCCGCUUUCCCCCGUAGGGCGUAUGCGGUAUUAGCCUGGGUUUCCCCAGGUUAUCCCCCGACUACCGGGCAGAUUCCUAUGCAUUACUCACCCGUCCGCCGCUCGCCACCAGGAGCAAGCUCCCCGUGCUGCCGCUCGACUUGCAUGUGUUAGGCCUGCCGCCAGCGUUCAAUCUGAGCCAUGAUCAAACUCUGA